AUUGAACGCUGGCGGUAGGCUUAACACAUGCAAGUCGUGCGAGAAAGUAUCUUCGGAUAUGAGUAGAGCGGCGGACGGGUGAGUAACGCGUAGGAAUCUACCUAGUAGAAGGGGAUAGCCCGGGGAAACUCGGAUUAAUACCGUAUACCUCCUUCGGGAGAAAGAAGGCCUCUCUUUGAAGCUUUCGCUAUUAGAUGAGCCUGCGUAAGAUUAGCUUGUUGGUGAGGUAAAGGCUCACCAAGGCGACGAUCUUUAGCUGGUCUGAGAGGACGAUCAGCCACAUUGGGACUGAGGCACGGCCCAGACUCCUACGGGAGGCAGCAGUGGGGAAUAUUGGACAAUGGGCGCAAGCCUGAUCCAGCCAUACCGCGUGUGUGAAGAAGGCCUUCGGGUUGUAAAGCACUUUAAGCAGGGAGAAAAAGUUAUAAGUUAAUACCUUAUAACCCUGAUGUUACCUGCAGAAUAAGCACCGGCUAAUUCCGUGCCAGCAGCCGCGGUAAUACGGAAGGUGCAAGCGUUAAUCGGAAUUACUGGGCGUAAAGCGCGCGUAGGUGGUUUGUUAAGUUGGAUGUGAAAGCCCUGGGCUCAACCUAGGAACUGCAUCCAAAACUAACUCACUAGAGUACGAUAGAGGGAGGUAGAAUUCAUAGUGUAGCGGUGGAAUGCGUAGAUAUUAUGAAGAAUACCAGUGGCGAAGGCGGCCUCCUGGAUCUGUACUGACACUGAGGUGCGAAAGCGUGGGUAGCGAACAGGAUUAGAUACCCUGGUAGUCCACGCCGUAAACGAUGACAACUAGCUGUUGGGAGACUAUGUCUUUCAGUGGCGCAGCUAACGCUUUAAGUUGUCCGCCUGGGGAGUACGGCCGCAAGGCUAAAACUCAAAUGAAUUGACGGGGACCCGCACAAGCGGUGGAGCAUGUGGUUUAAUUCGAUGCAACGCGAAAAACCUUACCUACUCUUGACAUACUUGGAGGCUCUUGUAAUGAGAGUGUGCCUUUUGGAACCAAGAUACAGGUGCUGCAUGGCUGUCGUCAGCUCGUGUCGUGAGAUGUUCCGUUAAGUCGGAUAACGAGCGCAACCCUUACCCUUAUUUGCCAGCGAUUCGGUCGGGAACUAUAAGGGGACUGCCGGUGAUAAACCGGAGGAAGGUGAGGACGACGUCAAGUCAUCAUGGCCCUUACGAGUAGGGCUACACACGUGCUACAAUGGGAGAUACAGACGGACGCUAAGCCGCGAGGUGGUGCUAAUCCUAAAAAGUCUUUCGUAGUCCGGAUUGGAGUCUGCAACUCGACUCCAUGAAGUCGGAAUCGCUAGUAAUCGCGGAUCAGCAUGCCGCGGUGAAUACGUUCUCGGGUCU
This 1356-nucleotide ribosomal RNA is filed under the name uncultured bacterium. RNAcentral describes it as "bacterial SSU rRNA". It matches the Rfam family "Bacterial small subunit ribosomal RNA", at positions 28 to 1381 of the family's 1533-position model. The record is from RNAcentral.